Molecule: ribosomal RNA, 279 nt
Filed under: uncultured bacterium
Lineage: Bacteria
Description: partial 16S ribosomal RNA
Rfam family: Bacterial small subunit ribosomal RNA
Source: RNAcentral
UGCCAGCAGCCGCGGUAAUACGUAAGUCGCAAGCGUUAUUCGGAUUGACUGGGCGUAAAGAGCAUGUAGGCUGGCUUAUAAGUCGGUUGUGAAAGCCCCGGGCUUAACCUGGGAACUGCAUUCGAUACUGUCUAGCUAGAGUAUGGUAGAGGGAAGUGGAAUUCCGGGUGUAGCGGUGAAAUGCGUAGAUAUCCGGAGGAACACCAGUGGCGAAGGCGACUUCCUGGACCAAUACUGACGCUGAGGUGCGAAAGCGUGGGGAGCAAACAGGAUUAGAUA